This 253-nucleotide ribosomal RNA is filed under the name uncultured bacterium. RNAcentral's name for it is "partial 16S ribosomal RNA". It matches the Rfam family "Bacterial small subunit ribosomal RNA", at positions 524 to 776 of the family's 1533-position model. The record is from RNAcentral.
GACGUAGGGGGCGAGCGUUGUCCGGAUUUAUUGGGCGUAAAGCGCGCGUAGGCGGCCGCUCAAGUCGGAUGUGAAAAUCCGGGGCUCAACCCCGGACCUGCAUUCGAUACUGGGUGGCUAGAGGCAGGUAGGGGAGAGCGGAAUUCCUGGUGUAGCGGUGAAAUGCGCAGAUAUCAGGAGGAACACCGAUGGCGAAGGCAGGUCUCUGGGCUGACACUGACGCUCAUGCACGAAAGCGUGGGGAGCAAACAGG